AUGAUGGCACCACUUACCGUAAGGUACUCUUUUUUCUUCUUUUAAUUCGAUCUAGUCUUGUUGCUUUAGAUUUACCUUGUUUUUGCUCUUCUCUGCUGUUGAUUUGGGAAGGAAAUGGAUCUUUUUAUUUGGAUCGAGCUUCUAUCUUUGCUUCGCUUGCUUUUAGAUUGCUUAUUUCCUCGGGAUUUUUAGUUUCUUUGAAAAAUUUAUCCUGGGUGUUUGUUUUAGCUUUGUUGUAUCGUAUCUCUAUUUCAUGUCUGAUUUCUAGUGUCGAUUUUCGUGCUCUAUACUAAUCCCUUUCUAUUCGCAGGGCUUUUAAUUUUAGAACAUGAAAAGUUCAAUGAAUAAUUGUUUAGCUUUUGAUCAAGUACAGAAACUCUAAUUGUUAGUCUUUCUCUUUUUGAUCAAUUUAAAAUCCUUAGUAUUGAGACUCUAAUUGCUCUGUAGGUGUUUUUAAUCUCUUGUGGUGUGCGAUCUGUAACUUCUUCCACCACUGUUUUUUAUACCCAUUUCAUAUUAAUGGUAAUCAUAAUCUGAUAUGGUGCCAUCAUUCUUGGUUUGUUGAUCCAGGGAUGCAAGCCACCCCCAAUUG
This 592-nucleotide unclassified non-coding RNA is filed under the name Hevea brasiliensis (rubber tree). The record is from RNAcentral. Lineage: Eukaryota; Viridiplantae; Streptophyta; Magnoliopsida; Malpighiales; Euphorbiaceae.